Molecule: ribosomal RNA, 427 nt
Filed under: uncultured bacterium
Lineage: Bacteria
Description: bacterial SSU rRNA
Rfam family: Bacterial small subunit ribosomal RNA
Source: RNAcentral
UGGGGAAUUUUGGACAAUGGGCGAAAGCCUGAUCCAGCCAUGCCGCGUGAGUGAAGAAGGCCUUCGGGUUGUAAAGCUCUUUUAGUCGGAAAGAAAGAGUUGCAAUGAAUAAUUGUGAUUUAUGACGGUACCGACAGAAAAAGCACCGGCUAACUACGUGCCAGCAGCCGCGGUAAUACGUAGGGUGCGAGCGUUAAUCGGAAUUACUGGGCGUAAAGGGUGCGCAGGCGGUCUUGCAAGUCAGGUGUGAAAGCCCCGGGCUUAACCUGGGAAUUGCGUUUGAAACUACAAGACUAGAGUGCAGCAGAGGGGGGUGGAAUUCCACGUGUAGCAGUGAAAUGCGUAGAGAUGUGGAGGAACACCGAUGGCGAAGGCAGCCCCCUGGGCCUGUACUGACGCUCAUGCACGAAAGCGUGGGGAGCAAACA